CUGUUUUAUCUCUUUAAUUGUCUGCCCCAAAUAAGUAAUAAUUUCAAUACUGAAUAUGCAAUCAUCAUCCCACCUAUAGAUGAGUGAAGAUUCACUCAAGAAGAGAGGAUUAUUUAUAAUAUAUUAUCCAAUUAAUUAGUUCUGUUGCAAAGCCCUAAGAAGAAAAGAUGAGCCUUUCCUGUCCUAAAUUAAAACACAAUUACUUCUCUUCUUCAAUCUUUUUCUUCUAUAGUUUCUCUGGCACGUCACAAGAAUAAAGCAAUUUCUGCAUUCAUCAGAAGCCUGUUUUAGUUCUUAUGCAGAAUAAAUCACUGAUCGUGCUUUCAUUAAUUCCAACUAUUAUCAAGAAUUUAAUCUAAUUUGGAUUCUAUCUUUAAUAGGUUACACGAACUCCUUGGUAUCUAAGAAUUUCUCCUAUAAGUUCUCCUUUCCCAGAGCCAACGUACCUUCCACAAAUCUCACCAUCUCUGAUAAAUAAGAAAGUGGGUACCUCAAUCACGUCCAUAUCCUUCAAGAACUGCAUGCAGCUAUCGUUCUCAUCACCGUUCAUCCUUGCAAAUACCACAGUAUCAGCCAUCUUCCUCGAUAAUUUGAGCACUGUUGGAUACACUUUCACGCAUGGUCCACAGUGCUUGAUCCCCACAUCAAGAACAAUCAGCUUGUGAUCAGCUUUAUGAUCAUCAAUCAAUUUCUCCACAUCUUCUCUGCAAUGCAGCUGCAGCACUUCAGAGUGGUUGUCUCCAUAAUAUAGAACAUCUCCCAUGAGCUGAUCUGGGCUAAUCCCUCCCUCUUCGUGAAUCUUCUCCAUGCCCUUGUAGAAGCUGAAGUGAGGGACUUUCUCUACUUUCUCUCUCUUGCAAAGUUCUCUGGUCUUUUCUGAUUCAUCGCCCAUUACAAGCAGGAAAUCCACAUCGUUGCAGGUUCGGCUAAGUUGCACCAUGAAAGGAUAAAUUUUGCUGCUAUGGGUGCUGUGGCUAGCAGCAUAUUCCACAACCACAAGCCUGUUCUUUGCCUUUUUAAGAGCUUCGUCGAAAUCCUCUUUACUGUGGAUUUGUUGUACUCUUUCGUCUCUCGCAGGUUUCUUGGUCCCUUGGGCAGCUGUGGCCUUUAUGGUGAAGUGUGUCCUGUUUGUGUUUAGUACUUCUGUUGCUAAAGGUUUAUGUUUAGAGGCAAAGGGUACUAGAAAGGAACCAUGAAAGCAAAGAGGAUUGAUUUUAGGGGUGGUUAAAAGAGAAGAUGGGGGUUUUGACAAGAAAUUAGUGAUUGUAGCCAUAGCAAAGAAGGUGUUUGAUGCAGCAAAUAGAGAUGGGACUCUGGAGAAGCACAGAGAAAGGCGGGCCGACGAGGUCUCUGUAGGUAAUAACAAAUCCA
This 1371-nucleotide unclassified non-coding RNA is filed under the name Hevea brasiliensis (rubber tree). Lineage: Eukaryota; Viridiplantae; Streptophyta; Magnoliopsida; Malpighiales; Euphorbiaceae. The record is from RNAcentral.